Molecule: ribosomal RNA, 309 nt
Filed under: uncultured bacterium
Lineage: Bacteria
Description: bacterial SSU rRNA
Rfam family: Bacterial small subunit ribosomal RNA
Source: RNAcentral
GAUGAACGCUAGCGGCAGGCCUAAUACAUGCAAGUCGAGGGGCAGCACGAGAUUUCGGUCUUGGUGGCGACCGGCGCACGGGUGCGUAACGCGUAUGCAACCUACCCUUUACAGGGGGAUAGCCCGUGGAAACAUGGAUUAAUACCCCAUAGUAUUAUUUAGACACAUGUUUAGAUAAUUAAAGAUUUAUUGGUAGAGGAUGGGCAUGCGUUAGAUUAGCUAGUUGGUAAGGUAACGGCUUACCAAGGCGAUGAUCUAUAGGGGGUCUGAGAGGAUGAUCCCCCACACUGGUACUGAGAUACGGACCAG